CCGGGAUCAUUUGUUCUGUUCCGGUUGUUACAACUGCUGCAGGUUUCUCCCCUCGCCUGGAUGUUCCGGACCUUUUCCUGUUGCUGGACACGCCUCUUCAUAUUUGAAAGAUGAACUCCAGAAACUGUCCAGGCCUGUUUUUCCACAUAUUCUCAAAACACCAUGUCUAAAACCGAUGGAUGUCCGGUCCUGGGAGCUGAGAGGACUCCUGCUGGAUGGUGGCUCCAUCCCACUGUCCCAUUAGCAGCCCCCCAGGGAGACUGAGACCUGGAAUCCGGGGAGACAGACCCAGAUUAGCUCAUAAAUCACUGCCCUGGGGACCGAGGAAAAAACCGUGACAUCAUCACUAUGAGACUCUACGUCCUGUGAUCCAGCUGGCCGUGCAGUCAGCAGCAGUCGCUCUCAGCUGAUAAGAGUUGGCAGCAGUCUGUGUUAAAACACAUUCCACCCAAAACUGCCCGGGUUACUUUUUGUAUCAUCUGAGUGUUUUUGUCACUGACUUAAUGUCUUGAAUUUGUCUAAGAAACGGAAAUGACACCGUUUAUUUUUCUUGUUCAUUCUAGAAAUAAACCAGCCGUGCUGUUAGGUAUGCAUUAAAA
Long non-coding RNA from Platichthys flesus (European flounder), 599 nucleotides. RefSeq lists it as uncharacterized. Lineage: Eukaryota; Metazoa; Chordata; Actinopteri; Pleuronectiformes; Pleuronectidae. The record is from RefSeq and is a predicted model, not a curated record. The transcript has 3 exons.